UCUACGGGUGGCAGCAGUGAGGAAUAUUGGUCAAUGGGCGAGAGCCUGAACCAGCCAAGUCGCGUGAGGGAAGACGGUCCUAUGGAUUGUAAACCUCUUUUGUCGGGGCGCAAAAAGGCCUCGUGAGGCCACAAGUGAGAGUACCCGAAGAAAAAGCAUCGGCUAACUCUGUGCCAGCAGCCGCGGUAAUACGGAGGAUGCGAGGUUUAGUCGGAUUUAUUGGGUUUAACGGGUGCUUAGGCGGACUGGAAAGUCAGCGGUAAAAUCGCGAGUCGAAACCUCUUUCCGACGUUGAAACGGUCGGUCUUGAGUGGGCGAGAAGUAUGCGGAAUGCGUGGUGUAGCGGUGAAAUGCAUAGAUAUCACGCAGAACUCCGAUGGCGAAGGCAGCAUACCGGCGCCCGACUGACGCUGAGGCACGAAAGCGUGGGUAUCGAACAGGAUUAGAUACCCCGGUAGUC
Molecule: ribosomal RNA, 460 nt
Filed under: uncultured bacterium
Lineage: Bacteria
Description: partial 16S ribosomal RNA
Rfam family: Bacterial small subunit ribosomal RNA
Source: RNAcentral